CGGUGUGUAGCGCAGCUUGGUAGCGCACUUCGCUGGGGGUGAAGGGGUCGUAGGUUCAAAUCCUAUCACACCGACCA
This 77-nucleotide transfer RNA is filed under the name Paraglaciecola hydrolytica. RNAcentral describes it as "tRNA-Pro". It matches the Rfam family "tRNA". From Rfam's summary of the family: Transfer RNA (tRNA) molecules are approximately 80 nucleotides in length. Their secondary structure includes four short double-helical elements and three loops (D, anti-codon, and T loops). Further hydrogen bonds mediate the characteristic L-shaped molecular structure. tRNAs have two regions of fundamental functional importance: the anti-codon, which is responsible for specific mRNA codon recognition, and the 3' end, to which the tRNAs corresponding amino acid is attached (by aminoacyl-tRNA synthetases). tRNAs cope with the degeneracy of the genetic code in two manners: having more than one tRNA (with a specific anti-codon) for a particular amino acid; and 'wobble' base-pairing, i.e. permitting non-standard base-pairing at the 3rd anti-codon position. RNAcentral also lists the same sequence under 3 other names. Lineage: Bacteria; Pseudomonadati; Pseudomonadota; Gammaproteobacteria; Alteromonadales; Alteromonadaceae. The record is from RNAcentral.